This 845-nucleotide ribosomal RNA is filed under the name Bifidobacterium sp. wkB338. Its description in RNAcentral is "partial 23S ribosomal RNA". It matches the Rfam family "Bacterial large subunit ribosomal RNA", at positions 2080 to 2925 of the family's 2925-position model. The record is from RNAcentral. Lineage: Bacteria; Bacillati; Actinomycetota; Actinomycetes; Bifidobacteriales; Bifidobacteriaceae.
ACGAAAAGACCCCGGGACCUUUACUAUACCUUGGUAUUGGCGUUAGGUGCGGACUGUGUAGCAUAGGCGGGAGGCUUCGAAGCGGGUGCGCCAGCAUCCGUGGAGCCGGAAUGUGAAAUACCGCUCUGUCCUCAUCUGGCCUCUAACCUCGGCCGGUCAUCCCGGCCAGGGACAGUGCCUGGCGGGUAGUUUAACUGGGGCGGUUGCCUCCCAAAGAGUAACGGAGGCGCCCAAGGGUUCCCUCAGCCCGGUUGGCAAUCGGGUGUUGAGUGCAAUCGCACAAGGGAGCUUGACUGCGAGACCGACGGGUCGAGCAGGGACGAAAGUCGGAGAUAGUGAUCCGGUGCCGGCGUACGGACGCGGCAUCGCUCAACGGAUAAAAGGUACCCCGGGGAUAACAGGCUGAUCAUCCCCAAGAGUCCAUAUCGACGGGAUGGUUUGGCACCUCGAUGUCGGCUCGUCGCAUCCUGGGGCUGGAGCAGGUCCCAAGGGUUCGGCCGUUCGCCGAUUAAAGCGGCACGCGAGCUGGGUUCAGAACGUCGUGAGACAGUUUGGUCUCUAUCCUCUGCGCUCGUUGGAAUCUUGAGGAGCCCUGCCCAUAGUACGAGAGGACCUGGGUGGACGAACCUCUGGUAUGCCGGUUGUCGCGCCAGCGGCACGGCCGGUUGGCUACGUUCGGAUGGGAUAACCGCUGAAAGCAUCUAAGCGGGAAGCCCCCUCCAAGAUAAGGAUUCCAUGAAGCCUUGCGGCUUCUGAAGACCCCAUGCAGAACACAUGGUCGAUAGACCGGACGUGGACACCCCGCAAGGGGCGGAGCCGACCGGCACUAAUGGUCGAGGACAACA